RNAcentral lists this ribosomal RNA (1248 nucleotides) under Microbacterium testaceum. RNAcentral describes it as "bacterial SSU rRNA". It matches the Rfam family "Bacterial small subunit ribosomal RNA", at positions 70 to 1330 of the family's 1533-position model. The record is from RNAcentral. Lineage: Bacteria; Bacillati; Actinomycetota; Actinomycetes; Micrococcales; Microbacteriaceae.
UGAAGCCAAGCUUGCUUGGUGGAUCAGUGGCGAACGGGUGAGUAACACGUGAGCAACCUGCCCUGGACUCUGGGAUAAGCGCUGGAAACGGCGUCUAAUACUGGAUAUGAGACGUGAUCGCAUGGUCGUGUUUGGAAAGAUUUUUCGGUCUGGGAUGGGCUCGCGGCCUAUCAGCUUGUUGGUGAGGUAAUGGCUCACCAAGGCGUCGACGGGUAGCCGGCCUGAGAGGGUGACCGGCCACACUGGGACUGAGACACGGCCCAGACUCCUACGGGAGGCAGCAGUGGGGAAUAUUGCACAAUGGGCGAAAGCCUGAUGCAGCAACGCCGCGUGAGGGAUGACGGCCUUCGGGUUGUAAACCUCUUUUAGCAGGGAAGAAGCGAAAGUGACGGUACCUGCAGAAAAAGCGCCGGCUAACUACGUGCCAGCAGCCGCGGUAAUACGUAGGGCGCAAGCGUUAUCCGGAAUUAUUGGGCGUAAAGAGCUCGUAGGCGGUUUGUCGCGUCUGCUGUGAAAUCCCGAGGCUCAACCUCGGGCCUGCAGUGGGUACGGGCAGACUAGAGUGCGGUAGGGGAGAUUGGAAUUCCUGGUGUAGCGGUGGAAUGCGCAGAUAUCAGGAGGAACACCGAUGGCGAAGGCAGAUCUCUGGGCCGUAACUGACGCUGAGGAGCGAAAGGGUGGGGAGCAAACAGGCUUAGAUACCCUGGUAGUCCACCCCGUAAACGUUGGGAACUAGUUGUGGGGACCAUUCCACGGUUUCCGUGACGCAGCUAACGCAUUAAGUUCCCCGCCUGGGGAGUACGGCCGCAAGGCUAAAACUCAAAGGAAUUGACGGGGACCCGCACAAGCGGCGGAGCAUGCGGAUUAAUUCGAUGCAACGCGAAGAACCUUACCAAGGCUUGACAUAUACGAGAACGGGCCAGAAAUGGUCAACUCUUUGGACACUCGUAAACAGGUGGUGCAUGGUUGUCGUCAGCUCGUGUCGUGAGAUGUUGGGUUAAGUCCCGCAACGAGCGCAACCCUCGUUCUAUGUUGCCAGCACGUAAUGGUGGGAACUCAUGGGAUACUGCCGGGGUCAACUCGGAGGAAGGUGGGGAUGACGUCAAAUCAUCAUGCCCCUUAUGUCUUGGGCUUCACGCAUGCUACAAUGGCCGGUACAAAGGGCUGCAAUACCGUGAGGUGGAGCGAAUCCCAAAAAGCCGGUCCCAGUUCGGAUUGAGGUCUGCAACUCGACCUCAUGAAGUCGGA